UNUAAGAUGGCUGUCACCCAAGAUGGAGC
RNAcentral lists this non-coding RNA (29 nucleotides) under Mus musculus (house mouse). Lineage: Eukaryota; Metazoa; Chordata; Mammalia; Rodentia; Muridae. The record is from RNAcentral.